This 539-nucleotide ribosomal RNA is filed under the name uncultured bacterium. RNAcentral's name for it is "bacterial SSU rRNA". It matches the Rfam family "Bacterial small subunit ribosomal RNA", at positions 971 to 1509 of the family's 1533-position model. The record is from RNAcentral.
UUACCUGGCCUUGACAUACUAAGAACUUCCAGAGAUGGGAUUGGUGCCUUCGGGAACUUAGAUACAGGUGCUGCAUGGCUGUCGUCAGCUCGUGUCGUGAGAUGUUGGGUUAAGUCCCGCAACGAGCGCAACCCUUUUCCUUAUUUGCCAGCGGGUUAAGCCGGGAACUUUAAGGAUACUGCCAGUGACAAACUGGAGGAAGGCGGGGACGACGUCAAGUCAUCAUGGCCCUUACGGCCAGGGCUACACACGUGCUACAAUGGUCGGUACAAAGGGUUGCUACCUCGCGAGAGGAUGCUAAUCUCAAAAAGCCGAUCGUAGUCCGGAUCGCAGUCUGCAACUCGACUGCGUGAAGUCGGAAUCGCUAGUAAUCGCGGAUCAGAAUGCCGCGGUGAAUACGUUCCCGGGCCUUGUACACACCGCCCGUCACACCAUGGGAGUUUGUUGCACCAGAAGUAGGUAGUCUAACCGCAAGGAGGACGCUUACCACGGUGUGGCCGAUGACUGGGGUGAAGUCGUAACAAGGUAGGCGUAGAUGA